AUCAACUUUCGAUGGUAGGAUAGAGGCCUACCAUGGUGGUAACGGGUAACGGGGUGUUAGGGCACGACACCGGAGAGGGAGCCUGAGAAACGGCUACCACAUCCAAGGAUGGCAGCAGGCGCGCAAAUUACCCAAUCCCGACACGGGGAGGUAGUGACAAUAAAUAACAAUACGGGGUCCUAUAGGAUCUCGUAAUUGGAAUGAGUACAAUUUAAAUCUCUUAACGAGGAACAAUUGGAGGGCAAGUCUGGUGCCAGCAGCCGCGGUAAUUCCAGCUCCAAUAGCGUAUAUUAAAGUUGUUGCAGUUAAAAAGCUCGUAGUUGAAUUUCGGGGUCAGUAGGUCGGUCGUGCCACUGGUAUGAACUGGUUUUACUGAUUCCUCCCUCUUGAAGAACUGUAAUGCCAUUAAUUUGGUGUUGCAGGGAAUCAGGACUGUUACUUUGAAAAAAUUAGAGUGUUUAAAGCAGGCUUUAGCUUGAAUACAUUAGCAUGGAAUAAUGAAAUAGGACGUUUGAUCCUAUUUUGUUGGUUUCUAGGAUUGACGUAAUGAUUAAUAGGGAUAGUUGGGGGCAUUAGUAUUCAAUUGUCAGAGGUGAAAUUCUUGGAUUUAUUGAAGACUAACUACUGCGAAAGCAUUUGCCAAGGAUGUUUUCAUUAAUCAAGAACGAAAGUUAGGGGAUCGAAGACGAUCAGAUACCGUCGUAGUCUUAACCAUAAACUAUGCCGACUAGGGAUCGGAUGAUGUUAAUUUUUUAAUGACUCAUUCGGCGCCUUACGGGAAACCAAAGUGUUUGGGUUC
Molecule: ribosomal RNA, 799 nt
Filed under: uncultured Glomeromycotina
Lineage: Eukaryota; Fungi; Glomeromycota
Description: SSU rRNA
Rfam family: Eukaryotic small subunit ribosomal RNA
Source: RNAcentral